UACGAAGGGGGCUAGCGUUGUUCGGAAUUACUGGGCGUAAAGCGUGCGCAGGCGGCUUCUCAAGUCAGGGGUGAAAGCCCAGAGCUCAACUCCAGAACUGCCUUUGAUACUGAGGAUCUUGAGUUCGGGAGAGGUGAGUGGAACUGCGAGUGUAGAGGUGAAAUUCGUAGAUAUUCGCAAGAACACCAGUGGCGAAGGCGGCUCACUGGCCCGAUACUGACGCUGAGGCACGAAAGCGUGGGGAGCAAACAGG
This 253-nucleotide ribosomal RNA is filed under the name uncultured bacterium. Its description in RNAcentral is "partial 16S ribosomal RNA". It matches the Rfam family "Bacterial small subunit ribosomal RNA", at positions 524 to 776 of the family's 1533-position model. The record is from RNAcentral.